UACGCUGGCGGCGUGCAUAACACAUGCAAGUCGAACGAUGAAACUUAAAUGAUUUCUUCGGAAUGAACUUAAGUGGAUUAGUGGCGGACGGGUGAGUAACGCGUGAGUAACCUGCCUUACACAAGGGGAUAGCCGUUGGAAACGACGAAUAAUACCCUAUGAAACUAUCACUUCGCAUGAAGCGAUAGUCAAAGUGUUAGCGGUGUAAGAUGGACUUGCGUCUGAUUAGCUAGUUGGUGAGAAAAAAGCCCACCAAGGCAACGAUCAGUAGCCGGCUUGAGAGAGUGUACGGCCACAUUGGGACUGAGACACGGCCCAGACUCCUACGGGAGGCAGCAGUGGGGAAUUUUGCACAAUGGGGGAAACCCUGAUGCAGCGACGCCGCGUGAUUUAGAAGGCCUUCGGGUUGUAAAAAUCUUUUGUAUAGGAAGAAAAUGACAGUACUAUACGAAUAAGGUCCGGCUAAUUACGUGCCAGCAGCCGCGGUAAUACGUAAGGACCGAGCGUUGUCCGGAAUCA
RNAcentral lists this ribosomal RNA (519 nucleotides) under uncultured Eubacteriales bacterium. Its description in RNAcentral is "bacterial SSU rRNA". It matches the Rfam family "Bacterial small subunit ribosomal RNA", at positions 32 to 553 of the family's 1533-position model. The record is from RNAcentral. Lineage: Bacteria; Bacillati; Bacillota; Clostridia; Eubacteriales.